GACGAACGCUGGCGGCGUGCUUAACACAUGCAAGUCGAACGAAGAGCGAUGGAAGCUUGCUUCUAUCAAUCUUAGUGGCGAACGGGUGAGUAACGCGUAAUCAACCUGCCCUUCAGAGGGGGACAACAGUUGGAAGCGACUGCUAAUACCGCAUACGAUCUAAUCUCGGCAUCGAGGAUAGAUGAAAGGUGGCCUCUACAUGUAAGCUAUCACUGAAGGAGGGGAUUGCGUCUGAUUAGCUAGUUGGAGGGGUAACGGCCCACCAAGGCGAUGAUCAGUAGCCGGUCUGGGAGGAUGGACGGCCACAUUGGGACUGGGACACGGCCCAGACUCCUACGGGAGGCAGCAGUGGGGAAUCUUCCGCAAUGGACGAAAGUCUGACGGCGCAACGCCGCGUGAGUGAUGACGGCCUUCGGGUUGUAAAGCUCUGUUAAUCGGGACGAAAGGCCUUCUAGCGAAUAGUGAGAAGGAUUGACGGUACCGGAAUAGAAAGCCACGGCUAACUACGUG
This 510-nucleotide ribosomal RNA is filed under the name uncultured bacterium. Its description in RNAcentral is "partial 16S ribosomal RNA". It matches the Rfam family "Bacterial small subunit ribosomal RNA", at positions 28 to 507 of the family's 1533-position model. The record is from RNAcentral.